Molecule: non-coding RNA, 328 nt
Organism: Camellia sinensis
Lineage: Eukaryota; Viridiplantae; Streptophyta; Magnoliopsida; Ericales; Theaceae
Source: RefSeq, a predicted model, not a curated record
UCAUAAUGCCAAACACCAAUUUAGACUCCAUUCUCGUAGAAGUAUUAAAUAUAUGCAUAUCAUGUAUAUCCAACCAAAGAGAUUGUAUUAAAUGGAUCAUAUAGCAAUCUACAAUUAAAAAAUUACCAGAAAACAAGCAAAGAUUCAGUCACAGCUGACUUAGUAGAUUAAACAAGGAACAAUCUCUGCCAAUACUCAAGCUAUUUUCGAUUAUCUAACUAUAAUUUACGAAAGUAGAGACUUUGAAUUUGAGGUUCAAUCUAAUCAAUUAAAAAAAAUAUAAACACUUGAAAAUCAGCUACAAACCACGACCUUCAAAACUUUUGGG